Molecule: long non-coding RNA, 538 nt
Filed under: Monodelphis domestica (gray short-tailed opossum)
Lineage: Eukaryota; Metazoa; Chordata; Mammalia; Didelphimorphia; Didelphidae
Description: lncRNA (ENSMODG00000050835.1)
Source: RNAcentral
GCUACAGCCUGAACUCAAUCUAUCUUACCCCAGAAAGGAGAAAGGAGGAUCAGUCAACGUGGUUAUAAGAUAUUCUACCCGGUCAUAAGCUUAGCUCCAGACCACUCUGGCAUUGUUAUGGGUCGUGGAAAUCCCUUCAUGUGAGUCAAGCCAAAUUGGCUACAACUGACUUGAGUUUAACAUGGUACACCAGAAAAUACCAGAUAGCAGCUGUCUCCCUGGAAACAGAGGACAUACAAUGGACAGUGUCUCAGUGGACACACCCAAGGCAGCUCAGUGGACAGCCUGGCUGAAUGUUACUCAUUGUUCACUGAUGUAUGAAGUAUAUUUAAUCAAUGUGAAGAAAGUGAUAUUAAACUAUUAUCAGCUACCUCAAAUGUUCUAAAAAUCUCCCAAGAAAGGUCAAGAGGCAAGAAACUAAGGCAAAAAUGAGUUAGUGGCAGUUGGGACCAAGAUCCAGUUUCUGGGACUCCAUGACCUCCUUCGUGUUCACUCAUUAAAAAAUAACAUCAUAUAAAUAAAUGAGUGAAUGAAUGCA